UUCCAAAGGUGGUUUUCUACAGAUU
RNAcentral lists this non-coding RNA (25 nucleotides) under Mus musculus (house mouse). The record is from RNAcentral. Lineage: Eukaryota; Metazoa; Chordata; Mammalia; Rodentia; Muridae.